Molecule: transfer RNA, 69 nt
Filed under: Ictidomys tridecemlineatus (thirteen-lined ground squirrel)
Lineage: Eukaryota; Metazoa; Chordata; Mammalia; Rodentia; Sciuridae
Description: Spermophilus tridecemlineatus (thirteen-lined ground squirrel) tRNA
Rfam family: tRNA
About the family: Transfer RNA (tRNA) molecules are approximately 80 nucleotides in length. Their secondary structure includes four short double-helical elements and three loops (D, anti-codon, and T loops).
Source: Rfam by way of RNAcentral
GGUGUUUUGGCUCAGUGGUAGAGCGCUCGCCUGGCAUGCAAGAGGCACUGGGUUCGAUCCUCAGCACCA